Molecule: long non-coding RNA, 1107 nt
Organism: Apis laboriosa (Himalayan honeybee)
Lineage: Eukaryota; Metazoa; Arthropoda; Insecta; Hymenoptera; Apidae
Exons: 4
Source: RefSeq, a predicted model, not a curated record
UGCAAAUCUUGUAAACGAAGAGUGCCCUGUAGAGCACCUAAUGUUUCUUCGUUUUGAUUAUCUGUUAAGGUGUCUUCACUGGUUAGAACACCUAAAGAUCCGGUACAGAGACCAGAAGAAAUAUUAUGGCUCACCUGUGCCAAGGGUGUACGGCGAUUCGGAGGUGUUCACCGUGUGGUGAUUCUGCAGAAACUCCAUCUCUGCGAAAUUUCUGCUCGUAACCGCCCUUAGAGACAACCCCUUUCCCCGCCUCGAUAAAAUACGCGGACGGAUUGCCUCCUCUCUGUAGAGAUGUGGUCCAGCCCCUCUGGUCUCCCUAGCAACCGCACAUUGCUCCAACUUGAAUGUUAAACAAGAUUUGGAAAAUUAUAGUCUAAUUUUGAAGCACAAAGAAGACAUAAUCACACUUUGCACAUUUUCUCUGUCAUUAAACACACUUGGGUCAUUAAGAAGAAUUUAAAGAAAACAGAUUAAAUCACUAAUGUAAGUUAACUUCAAUCACACUAAAUUUUAAUUUUUAACUUGAACUAAGAUAUUCUUGAAAUUUCUCCAACUUAGGUCAAUCUUGAGGCAAGAAAAGGAAAUUUUAAGGGAUGGCACUGCCGUAUGCUACUGUCAUGCUGGCGCGAUGGCUUGUCAAUGUGUCUUAGCUAACUAGAGAUCUACCACCUACUAUCACCCACUCUCACCCCUUACUCACUGACUACUGCUUCGACCCCACUCCACUACGGGCCGGCCUUUUCGUCGCUCUCUUUUUUCCUUCAUCGUAUUUGCCUUGUUCCACGCACAUAUCAUCAUCCUCCUCUUCCACAUGUGCUUACCCCUACCUUAAAUAACGUUAACCUUCCAUGCUUCCACCGUAAGGUGUUUGCUAAAGAGAUUUGCAAGAUUUUCAAUUUUGCUUAAAGUUGAAUAUGAAUGCAACGAUUUGCAUUCGGUUAUUUUGAGUGGCAUGGAAUAAUAUCGGAAUUGGUUAAAAUUAAUCUGAUCAGAGUGAUUUAAUAGAGAUUUAGAAAAGCGAUGAUAAUACAAAUUUUACAUUGUAAAUGUUGCUAUAUGUAGAUCAGUGAAUAAAUAAGUUAGCCUUUUUUCUAACUUUAUAUAAUA